GAUGAACGCUGGCGGCGUGCUUAACACAUGCAAGUCGAACGAUGAAGCCGGAGCUUGCUCUGGUGGAUUAGUGGCGAACGGGUGAGUAACACGUGAGUAACCUGCCCUUGACUCUGGGAUAAGCGCUGGAAACGGCGUCUAAUACCGGAUACGAGCUUCCACCGCAUGGUGAGUUGCUGGAAAGAAUUUCGGUCAAGGAUGGACUCGCGGCCUAUCAGCUUGUUGGUGAGGUAACGGCUCACCAAGGCGACGACGGGUAGCCGGCCUGAGAGGGUGACCGGCCACACUGGGACUGAGACACGGCCCAGACUCCUACGGGGGGCAGCAGUGGGGAAUAUUGCACAAUGGGCGCAAGCCUGAUGCAGCAACGCCGCGUGAGGGACGAAGGCCUUCGGGUCGUAAACCUCUUUUAGCAGGGAAGAAGCGAAAGUGACGGUACCUGCAGAAAAAGCACCAGCUAACUACGUGCCAGCCGCCGCAGUAA
Molecule: ribosomal RNA, 484 nt
Filed under: uncultured bacterium
Lineage: Bacteria
Description: partial 16S ribosomal RNA
Rfam family: Bacterial small subunit ribosomal RNA
Source: RNAcentral